Molecule: long non-coding RNA, 2128 nt
Organism: Salvia splendens (bonfire salvia)
Lineage: Eukaryota; Viridiplantae; Streptophyta; Magnoliopsida; Lamiales; Lamiaceae
Exons: 2
Source: RefSeq, a predicted model, not a curated record
CUCAUAAAAUAUGAUUUGUAUUUUUAGUAUAAGAAAGCUCACCUCGUAUGCUUCCCAAUAUUUUUUAAAAUAAUUCCCCGCUCCACAAUUUUUACCUUUCUCUCAAUUCUCCCUUUUUGAGCACAAAAUGCAAGCUAAAUUUAGCUUCAAGAAUAUACAAUAAUUUGAUGACAUGCAUACUAUUUUAUCUGCUUGUUCUUUAAGCCUCACUCUUUAAUUAAUUUGGCACCGUUCGUUUACUAAAUCAAUUUCAGAUAUUUAAACUUAAUUUCACUAAUAGAAGAAUCAAUUACUAAUUUAAUUAAUAUACAAAAAUAUUAGUUGAACUCAACGCAGGCUAAAAAAAUUGCUAACAUCUCUUCCGUAAAGAGUUAUUUUGAAAGAGGCCAAGAUUUCUUUCUCAAAUUUCUCAAAUUGUAGUCUAAUUAAUUAGAUUUUCGGAAAUGUGACUUCUGGGAUUAUUUCACUACAACCCAACUUAUUCCCUAAAUAUUUUACUACCUCAUGGCCCAAAAUAAUUAAUUCUAGCCCACUGUAAAUUCCAUGGAGCUAGCCCACGAGCACCAAAUUAAAAUUUUACCCAAUUCUCAUUAAAUAAGUGGCCCAACUAUUAAAAAAAGAGCCCCAAUCCUAGGAUUAAAAUCAUCCCACAUGAAAUAUCAUUAGCCCACUCUAAUAAAUAAGUGGCCCAACAAACAAAUAAUUUAGGGAAGAAAAACAGCCCCCAAUUCCAGGAUUUAUUAAUCCAUGUACUCCACCUACCCACCGUUAGUUUCUCUCUCUAUCAACCUAUUCAAUCUCCUUCUCCAAUUUCACAAAUUAGGAAGAAUCUCUCUUCCCAAUUCGAGUUUCCGUCGACCAGCCACCCCACUGGCGCCGCCUCUACCUCCGUCUCCGGCGGUGUUCCCUUCCUCCUCCUCCUCAUCUCUCUCUCUCUCCCUUCUAUCCUUCUCUCUCUUUUCUCCCUCUUCACCGUAGCGCCGCCACCGCCGCUGCUGUACGCGCGGCGGCCCGCCGUCGCGGCCCUCCACCUCUCUCUCUCUCUCUCUCGGUAUUCGCCGCCAUCUCCGAUUGCCGCUGCCACGCACCGCCUCAGUCCUCUCUCUUUCUCCAUCCAUCCGUCUCUCUCCUCUCUCCCUCUUUCUUUUCUUUCUCCUCUAUCUCUCCCCCUCUCGGAUCUACUCAUACCGCCACUGCCGCUGCUGUGCGCGCGCAGCGGCUGACCGUCGUUGCUUGCAUGCACAGGCAGUGGCUUCGCCGCCUCUCCUCCGCGCCUCGCCAUUCUCCGACAGGUGAGAUUCGUCAAGGCUGCGAUUUUAGUGAUGGAUUUGGGGGGUGGGGGCUGUCACCGUCGAGUCCAGGCUGCCGAAGAGCACAGAAUCGUACUCACGAGAUAAGUUUUUCUCCUUCUUUCUAGUUAUUAAGGCAGUAGGAUUCUACUUGGUUUCUAUUUGCUGAAUUUUGUGAAUUAUGAGUAUAUGCCUUGCUAUAUGGAUGAUUUAAUGGUAAAAUACACUAUAUUGUUAACUUGGGGGUGGGCAGAUUCUAUUUCCAAAUAUAUGCAGGCUUACAUAUAUAAAUGAAAGGAAAUGUUUGUUGUUUACCUUGUUGAUGCAGAAAGUAAAGUGUUGGGUUGUCGUUUUUGAGUUGUGCAAUCUCCCUCGGACUCCUCUAUCUUUUGUGAGUUGGUGUGUGCAGAGAAAAUAGACUGUGUGGUGAUGAUGUGGGGGUGAAUAAAAGAAAUUGAUUGUAUCUCUAGAUGCUACUCACCAAGGCAGUGAAAGUGAUAUGCAUACUCAGCAAGUUGCCUACCUAUUCUUAUCUAAAAUUAUUCUCCUUCGUCAGGAAGGGAUAUGAUUUGCAUGCACUAAUUAAAUGCAGCAUUUAAUGCUGUGCCUGAAAAAAAAAUCGAUCCUCUCCCUCUUUUUUUUUAAUUUUAUUUUUUUUAUUAAAGUAAUGGUUUUAGUAUUUGUUCACUUGCUCAUUUAAUUUGGAGUAGGUAUGAUCGGUUCAAGUUUGUAGCUGUCCGCGUUGAAGUUUUCGAUUUUUCUUAGAACGCAGGAUGUAUAGAUUAAAUUUUGUUUGACUUUUGUUGGAUGUAUCGGACAUUAAAAUUUUGAUUGUGGAA